UAGGGAAUCUUCCGCAAUGGACGCAAGUCUGACGGAGCAACGCCGCGUGAGUGAAGAAGGAUUUCGGUUCGUAAAACUCUGUUGUUAGAGAAGAACAGCGCAUAGAGUAACUGUUAUGCGUGUGACGGUAUCUAACCAGAAAGCCACGGCUAACUACGUGCCAGCAGCCGCGGUAAUACGUAGGUGGCAAGCGUUGUCCGGAUUUAUUGGGCGUAAAGCGAGCGCAGGCGGUCAAUUAAGUCUGAUGUGAAAGCCCCCGGCUCAACCGGGGAGGGUCAUUGGAAACUGGUUGACUUGAGUGCAGAAGAGGAGAGUGGAAUUCCAUGUGUAGCGGUGAAAUGCGUAGAUAUAUGGAGGAGCAGCAGUGGCGAAGGCGACUCUCUGGUCUGUAACUGACGCUGAGGCUCGAAAGCGUGGGUAGCAAACAGG
Molecule: ribosomal RNA, 429 nt
Filed under: Bacteroidota bacterium
Lineage: Bacteria; Pseudomonadati; Bacteroidota
Description: Bacteroidetes bacterium partial 16S ribosomal RNA
Rfam family: Bacterial small subunit ribosomal RNA
Source: RNAcentral